Molecule: transfer RNA, 70 nt
Filed under: Loxodonta africana (African savanna elephant)
Lineage: Eukaryota; Metazoa; Chordata; Mammalia; Proboscidea; Elephantidae
Rfam family: tRNA
About the family: Transfer RNA (tRNA) molecules are approximately 80 nucleotides in length. Their secondary structure includes four short double-helical elements and three loops (D, anti-codon, and T loops).
Source: Rfam by way of RNAcentral
GCAGUGGUGGUUCAGUGUACAAUGCUCGUCUUCCAUGUGGGAGACCCAGGUUUGAUUCCCAGCCACUUCA